GCUAUUUUUUAAUUUAUUUAUCAAAACAACAAGAAAUUGAGUAAGAAAUUGACGAAAACUAUAGCUCAAUCAAGAUAAAGAGGUACACUUCUUAAUUUAUGGAGCAUAGUGCACUGUCAUAUAAGGUAUUGAACCUUUUUUGCUAAUAUCCACGUAUAGAGAACAAAAAUGAAGAAACUAAGAAAAAGUUUGCUCCUUGUAAAGACUAAAGUGAAAAGUUAUACUCCCAUAUCUCAAUUUUUUUUACAUUUUCCUUUUUAGUGUCCCAAAAACAAUGUUACAUUUUUAUUAGAAAUAUUGAUUUUAAAAUUCUCAUUUUAUAAUUUAAUAAAAUUAUUUAUAAUUACACAAAUGUCCAAAUCUUAUUUUAGAUUACAACAAAUACUUGGGUUAGAUAGAAUAAUUCUUUGAACAUUAAUUAGACUAACUAAUUAACUCCAUACUACUAUAUAUACUUACUAGUACUCGAUCCGUCCCAUUUUAGAUUUAUAACUGAGCACGGAAUUUAAGAAAUCAAAUAAGACUUGUGACACGUAAAUAAAAUGUAUAUAUGCAAAGUAUCAUAUAUAUACCGACGUGGAAAUAUAUGUUAAGAGUUCAUAAUUGAGAAAAUUUUACGUACCAAGGCGAAAGCACCAGCAGCAACAGCACCAAAUUCACCGGCUUUCUUGAGAUGACUGUGGUGCUUGAUUUCUUUUUCAUAAUCAACUGGACCACCCUCUUCCUCCUCCUUCUUGUGGUGGAACAGAUGGUGAUGGUGUUUCUCUUCUUCCAUGGUGAUUAUUGUCUAAAUGUGAUGACUUUAUGAAAGAUGUCAA
Long non-coding RNA from Lycium ferocissimum, 818 nucleotides. RefSeq lists it as uncharacterized. The transcript has 2 exons. The record is from RefSeq and is a predicted model, not a curated record. Lineage: Eukaryota; Viridiplantae; Streptophyta; Magnoliopsida; Solanales; Solanaceae.